RNAcentral lists this long non-coding RNA (1696 nucleotides) under Felis catus (domestic cat). RNAcentral's name for it is "lncRNA (ENSFCAG00000046484.2)". Lineage: Eukaryota; Metazoa; Chordata; Mammalia; Carnivora; Felidae. The record is from RNAcentral.
ACUCAUAGCCCUGUGCGCUUAAUUCUCCAUGCCUGUGCAUCAGCAUUGCAGUAGACUUUUCCAUAUGCUCCUUCCAAUCUGAACAACAGCAUGGAUUGUUAUUUCCAACCUACAGAGGAAAGAACCGAGGCUCAGAGAAGUGAACUAAGUUGCCCAGAACGUAUUGCCGAUAAGUGGAUGAACCCGAUUAUUUAUUUAUUUAAUGAACAUACUAAGUUAUGCAUUGAGCUACGGAGAGAACAAAGAUGAAUAAAAUGUGUUGGUUCUGGCCAAGAAGAAAUUCAGCGUAGGAACGGAAGAUGGCAAUUAUACAACAAUAUGGUAAGUGCAAUGACAGCCGUACAUGGGGCAUGAGGCUAAGUACCAAGAGGGGCAUCUAAUGCAGCUGGGAUGCGCAGGGUGGACUUCCUGGAGGAGGUGGUGUUUGAACUGCGGACGAUAAGCGGGAGGUAGUUCCGUGAAGAGAGGCCGUGGGGUGGGGCAGAACAUUCCAGAAAGCGGAGGCAGCACAAUCGAGGCGUGGAACUGCAAAACAGCAAGGCAGGUGGAACUAUUAACGAGUUCCAUGUUGCACUAAGGUUGGUCCAACUGGGCUUUAUCUAACUUCGAAAUGCAAGCCCUCUUCCGCUGCGCUGGACCUCCUUAACUGGUUCAUUUUGGAGGUCGUGGCUUGUAUGGUACUUCCUGGGGGCUUUGGGUGCCCAGUUUUUACUUUUAAAAGUCCCUUGUGUAAUUAACAGAGUGUGGGAGGCGUUUCCUGGCACUUCUCCACUGUGACUUCUCAGCAGGGCUUCGGGAGUACCAGGAGGUGGCCAUGCCAAAGGCUUUUGACUGAGGGAAAGUCAACCCACCGCCCAGGGUGCCAUGACUGCCCCACGGCAUCUCGGAAGAAGUAGGCCAAAGAUCAUCAGGAAACAGUGGCUUCUGGGUUCACUGCCGCAAAGCAAGCUAUGGGAGUUUAUGUUCAGUAGACCACAACCACCUGGACAAAUGAUAACUACAGGUGGGAGCCUGUGCUUGUUGACCUCCCGAAGUCCCUUCCAAAAUGGUAGGUCCAUGAAGGGGACAGAGUGCACCGUUCAGAAAGGCUGGAACUUCCCAACACCCACGGAGAGAGGGACAUUGAUGACAGCUUCUUUCAAGAGCCAGUUUCUUACAUUUGUAGGAGCAAAAGCAAGCCCGACUUUGUGGUGACCUCCGCAAUCCCAACAUUUGCAUUUCUGCAGUGCCCCAGGUUUGCAAUGACACGCUCCAUUCCUCCAGAAGUUUUCAUUCCCGUGGCGCCAAGGCUGGGAAACUUCAGAGGCCCAGGCUGUUCUGUAGCUAACGUCAACGUGGAAUCUGCCUAAGCCUUGACUAAUGUAUUCUUUGCAUUAUUAAACACAGAUUAAAUAUAUAUGGAUAUUUAAAUGUAAUGUGUUAUUUUCCUAAAUCUCGCUCUACUCGAUGUUCCUUUGACUUACGCCUUUUCAUCGCUCAUAAUUGUCUCAGGGAUCAUGAAUUACAGGCAGGAAGGAGCUGGAGCUCCCUCAGCACCAAAGACUUUGCCGUCCCAUUACAUUUGCCCAAGAGAUGCAGCCUAGAAAAUUCUUGCUGGGGUUCUGCACAUGGGAAUGUAUUUUUUUUUUUCCUUCCUAGACAGAGCUUAUUCCUCACCAAUGAUUCAAAAGCUAAGGCGGCCAGAGCCUGACGGACG